GGGGACUUGCAAGCAAAAAUCAAAGCCAAUAAACUUCAAAAGGACGGGGAGGACCGGGGCCACCGGGGGAGUGCAGGGGGCCGACGGUGGUGGGGGGGUGGGGGGCUCUGGUGGCUGCAGGGUGGCUUGGCGGAGGCUUUCCCUGUUCCUUCAAAGGGGACACCGAGUGUUUCAGAUGGUCACUUAAAAAGCUCAGAUGCAAAACUUUGGAAAGCUGGGUGAGAGGCAACGGUUUCCAAAACAGCUAUUUUUAUCUUUUGCCAGCAAGCCUGAGCCCAGUGGAACGUAGAGUUAAACUUGGAAUUUCUUGGCAAGGGUUAAUAAUCAAUGUAGAUCUCCUAACAAAGGAGAUGCUGCCUUAUUAUACUGGGAAAGUUUUUUUUCUUAACUGUCAGUGAAGCAGUACUAAUUAUUGCUCCAGUGUAAAUGAGGUCAUUUCCUAUUAAGAGAACAAAAUGCUUAGCCUCGCCUUGCCAAUUCAUACCAACUAUUUUUCACACAUACUCAGCUUUUUAGUUUUUUUUUUUAAUUUUGAUAAAAUCCAUUCAUUUGUAUUAGAAAAGUGUAAACCAUCGCAAUAAUAGUUGCCCAUGAUUACCCAGAUGAGCUUUUGUAAUGUGUGGGUUGUUUGAAUACCAUGUGUUAGCUAUGGAACAAUUAGGCAGCUGAAUGGAUCUUUAAAACAAUCAGAUACUUUUAUCUCCCUGAAAAAAUACAUUCCUUGGAUGUGUACUGCGAAACCGUAAAUUCCGGGGAAUGGUACACUCACGUCACGAGGAGAACUUGCGGAUAUAUGUUGAUCAAGGACAAAAAGACAUCCAAAUAUCGUGUCUUCGUGUUUUCAUUUUUUUUUUAUGCAAGCAAAAAGAUUUAAGGAAUAUUGUAGCAAACAAAGGGUAAUUGUUUUAGCCCAGAUGUUGCUUUUGCACAACAAGCAGGUUACAAUGUUCCCACAGAGCUGAUGAGCCCAAUCAGGGAAAUGAUUAAAAAUUGAUUUUGUCCCUGUAAUUACAGUAUGUAAACUACUUAGCUUGGAUUGCAAAGGAAGUGAUUUUCUAAUUACGUAUAUACUCUGGUGUCUAAUGAUUGGUUUUUUGAAGUAAUGAAGAGAGAGCACUAACGACUCCUUGGUGUUCUGUUGUUUAAGAAAGACCAUCUUUAGAGUAAGCAGCAACAGACAAAGAGUUUAAAUUGAAUUUUCAACACUGUUAAUGUGCACAUGGAUUUGUUUAUUAAAGAGACAGGGAAGUAAUUUGAUUGGCUCGGAGCAGCUUGGCUUUUUUGCCAUGCUAAAGCAUGUAAAAAUACAUGCACCGGGUCCCAAGCUGACGGGAAGAAGCCUCUCCACUCCUCUUUUAUCAUCCCAGCACCCUGGCUGAUAUCGCGGGCUCUCAGGUUCCUGCGAGCGUCUGAUGUCUCCGUAUCCUGAAAGCAUUUAGAUCGAACAGGUAUCAGAUGGCUUCGCCAUCAAAGUUACCUUUGUUUUAGAAUGAAAGGAGAGGCUUCCUUUGGAAGCAUGUCUGGGCAGCCCAGCGCACUCUGUGUUAUAAGAUUCCAGCCAUGUCCUAUGAUGCGAGGCUCUGCUUCAGGGUGGCAGCUGCCACCCACCCCAGCAUGUACGUGCAUGUGUACACACACGCGCGCGCGUGCACACACACACACACACACACACACACACACACUGUCUCUCUCUCUCUCAUGUAGGUGUCAGCCCUGAAUUUGGAGGUGUGACUGCAGUGGGUCAAGGUAGGACCCCAUGGGGUGGGCUCAUGGGGUGUGGGGAAGAGCUGGCUGAGUUCUGAGUGUUCCUUCUCUGUCGUGAGACCCUUUGUGGCUGGGGAAUAACAGCUCCUCAAGCACCUGUUCUGGCAGAAGUUAGAAGAGGGCAGUGGCUCCGAGGCGACCCUGAAGGCAAGCGUGUGCUGAGGCCAGCAGGUCAGGAGACAACUGCUAUUGAGAAGAUCAUUGCUGCUCAUAGUCGCCAAGGGGAGGGGGCAGCCACGCCAGGCCGGGCUGCCUGGGGAAGCACCAGGGUUGGUCAGGAGCCGGAAGGGGCAAGGGGAAAAUGUGGGCAAGGGCCUUCAUUAUGGUUUUGGAGGGAAAGGCAUGGCAUGGCAGGGUAAGCAGCCCAAAGACUGGUUAACUGAGAUCCUUUCACCAGGCUUUGAGCACAGGGGCUGUCUCCAGUUGUCUGGCACCUGGUCCUGGGGUAACUAGGGCAGGGGGACAGUGGUCCAGCAUAUGAGCGCCUGAUGUAGGAGAUGGUUGGGGCGUGGGCUCUGGAUUGGUUGGUUUGCAGAUGAAAGAUGUGCUCCCAGGGCAGUCAUUUGCUAUCUCUGGGAACUGGUCAUGCUGGGAGGGGCUGUUCCUGUAGGGUCAGCAAGGCCCCUGAUGCCAAAGCAUCAGAAACAUAUGGUCACUGCACCUGAGCCCUGAGCUAGGGCUGAUUUGGAACUGGUGCCCUGUGCCACCAGAGUCCAGGGCCAGGAUGAGGCCGGGAUGUCCCUGGGCCCACCUUACACCUAGUGUCCUACUUAGCACGUCUCACUGGCUCUACACACAAAGCAUCCUGAAUCUUCGUGCGUCUCCUCACCCCUGUGGCUCAGGUCAAGCCAGCAUCCUCUCUCACCUGGACAACUGCAGGAGUCUCCCCAGGGAGACUCCGCUGACUCCUCUCUGGCCCCCUCUUGUCUGUUCUUCCCACAGCAUGGUUAGCAAAUCCGACUAGGAAGCAUGACGUUGCGGGUUCAAUCCCUGGCCUUGCUCAGUGGGUUAAGGAUCUGGUGUUGCCGUGAGCUGUGGUGUAGGUUGCAGACGUGGCUCAGAUCCUUCGUUGCUGUGGCUCUGGCGUAGGCUGGUGGCUACAGCUCCGAUUCAACCCCUAGCCUGGGAAUCUCCAUAUGCCU
RNAcentral lists this long non-coding RNA (2906 nucleotides) under Sus scrofa (pig). RNAcentral describes it as "lncRNA (ENSSSCG00050070432.1)". Lineage: Eukaryota; Metazoa; Chordata; Mammalia; Artiodactyla; Suidae. The record is from RNAcentral.